Molecule: transfer RNA, 85 nt
Filed under: Felis catus (domestic cat)
Lineage: Eukaryota; Metazoa; Chordata; Mammalia; Carnivora; Felidae
Rfam family: tRNA
About the family: Transfer RNA (tRNA) molecules are approximately 80 nucleotides in length. Their secondary structure includes four short double-helical elements and three loops (D, anti-codon, and T loops).
Source: Rfam by way of RNAcentral
GCCUGGGUGGCUCAGUCCGUUAAGCACCUGACUUGAGCUCAGGUCACGAUCUUGCAGUUCACAAGUUAGAGCCCUGUGUCAGGCU